UCGGUAGACGCUACGGACUUAAAUCCGUCGACUUUAGAAAUCGUGAGGGUUCAAGUCCCUCUAUCCCCA
This 69-nucleotide transfer RNA is filed under the name Stephania delavayi. Its description in RNAcentral is "partial transfer RNA-Leu". The record is from RNAcentral. Lineage: Eukaryota; Viridiplantae; Streptophyta; Magnoliopsida; Ranunculales; Menispermaceae. RNAcentral also lists the same sequence under 1 other name.